AACAUCCAUCAGUGGAUUUGGUAGCAAAUGUUGGCAGGAAGGUUUGGGGUACCAGAGACUAGAGCCAUGAGGCAUUUUACUCCAAACUGUACUCCCUUUUAUCUGCCUGCUGAUGGAAGACUUAUUUUUGUCUUUGAAAAGUGUGACAGAAGGUCAGAGCGUAACUGCAUUUUUGCUUCACUUGGGUUAAAACAAGCCACAUUCAGCAGGACCAUGUGCAUCCCUGUAGGACAAGCUGUAAUGAAAAUGAAGGCAGUCCAGAAAACAAGUACAUGCCAGAUGCUUUGCACUGUGGUUUGUGUCCCAGAGAAGAUGCCCUAGAGCACAGAUAAAACCUGUGUGCUGUACUCAAAAUUGUGCCUACACUUAAUGCAUUAACAGGGCUUUCACUUCUCUGUUGGGAGGCUGCUGAGAACAAAGUUUUCCAGCUACAGGGGAGCUCUAGCACCCCUUGUGGCUCAUAGGCCAUGAGAACGACAGAUGGAUUUAUUUUGAAACUAGAAUGGGUAUAUAUGGCUCAAAUUAAUAAGCCUAACCAUGUAGGCCAGCAAGCUGCCUUUAUUCAUUCCCAGGUUGCAUUUUAACUGUCCAGAUCUUCUGGGAAUGGACUUUUGGUUUGGAAACAUGUGAAGGUAGUUUUUGGUAAUCAUCCCUUGGCCUUUAAAUUCACUGAACACAGGCCAGGUGCUGCCUGUUCUUUGCUGAGGUGUGGAUGGAGGCAGCUGUAGGAACCUGGAGGUGCAGAUAGGCAGAUGAGCCCUUCCCAGUGUUGCUGGGUUGCAACUUCCUUAUGCACCUUCCUUCCUGAAGUACAUGUCACUCCUUGUGCUGAAUCUAGAAGACAAGGGGAGCAGAAGUAAGUCUACAGUCCUCAAAGAAAUUGGCAAAUACCGCCUGGAGCAUCUGGGACUCAGACUUCAUCCUGGGGCACACAGAAGCACCUCUGAGAUCUGGCACCAUUUGAGGUUGUUGGCCAUGCAGACCAUGAAGGACCCAGCACAGGUUUGGUGCUAUCCCAGGCCUGGUGUCUCUGUGUGAAUCACCUCUGUUCACCCCGCCUGUAUGGGUAAGCUGCUCUGUCUUCCAGAAACAGGAUAGCCACGGAAAAAUAGACUGGGGUGCCUUCUGGUUUAUGGACUAGCACCAGACUUGCCUGUGUAAUUACAAGACCUUUAUUACUAGGCAAAGCAGAAAAGGCUUUGCCUGGCACUCAGAUCAUAGGCUGGACUUGCAGAGGUGGCAGUUAAAAAAUAGUAAUCUUUCGACUUGAAAACUGAGCCUAUUUCAUAUGGAGGGAAACAAACAAAAAAACAACAACAAAAAAGCCAACAACACCAACAAACCAACUGAAAAACAAAUUACAGAGUUCCUGUAACGCUAACCAUGCUCUGGGGAGCUAAAUACGUCUCUCUCAAACAUUCAAAGCAUCUAAUUAGCAAAGCCAGGCAGUCACUAAGGAGACCACCAGCCAUCUCUGAGCAAGACACGUGCGUCUUGCUGACAGUGUUGGCAAGGUCACCCCUUCCCCAUCUUCCCACCCCCCACCUCCAGACCCGACGUAGUGGGGAGCAUCUGCCAUCCAUUUCCCCCUGCCAGGGAGUGACAGGAAAGGUUCACCGGGAAGAUGAGAAGCAUGACUGAUGGCAGCAGAGCCUUGCUGAAUUAUUGCCUCUUGCGUGGGGAGCAGAGAUUUGCUUUGGGGAUGCUGGAUUGUAAAUCAUCCAUCUCCUUCUUUUAAAGGUGAACUGAAGAGCUUUGCGUGCAAGAGGGAAUUAACCAAUUAUUUCAGAGGGCAGGAUAGUAUUUGUAAGCUUCAAGCUCAGAUAUGUUUACAUAUUGAAAAUGAGAAGUGAAAAUCACUUCUUUGGUAGAGAAGAAAUAAAGCAAGCUUCAUUUUU
Non-coding RNA from Anas platyrhynchos (mallard), 1898 nucleotides. Lineage: Eukaryota; Metazoa; Chordata; Aves; Anseriformes; Anatidae. The record is from RefSeq and is a predicted model, not a curated record.